AUAAGGACUCUCAACUACUUCUUCAGCACCAUGUCCCACCAUGGACUGAACCUCUGAACUGUUCUUAUUCAUAUCUCUUCAUGCAGUUUGCUUCCCUGCCUGGAUGCCUGCAGGGACCCCCUCACACAACCACUCCAGUUCUAGGAGACCCAAAGACCUUUUCUGACCUCCGUGGGUACCAGACAUGCAUGUGAUUCACAUACAAUACAUGCAGAUAAACGGAGCUCUCAUCCCUCAUCAAUGAAGCUUCUUUGCGACAAAUGGAGACCAUUAGAGAAAAUUGCUACUAGUCAUGAUGCAGAGACCAAUUGACCGUGGGGUGCCCAGCCCUAACAAGUAAAUCUAUAACACAUCCUGAAUCUUCAGCUCAGGGAGUGUCUCAGAAGAUGGAGUGGCAAGACUGUGAGAACCAGAGGAUCAGGACAUCUGAUGGGAGCUGUGUUUCCUAGAAAUGACAGGGAAGAUGCACCCACACACCCCAAAACAUGGCUAUCUAGGACCUGAACAAUGGACAACAACAGUGGACAUGCUAAUGUGGAAGGGGGAAUCUCAUAGGAUCCUACUCCUAGAUAAAGAACUACCUGCCAUGGCAGCUGGAAGAGGGAGAAUUAGCCUGUCCUGGGGAUGACACCCCUAAUUAAUUAUCCAAUAUAAAAUGCUAAGUCCAGAAGUCAUGCAACACUGAAUAGGACUAACAGGUUGUAUUUAUGUUUAUAAAUAUGUAUGCUUAUAAAUGUUUUAUAUAUAUAUAUAUAUAUAUCAAAAAUACAGACCAUCAAUUGGAGAGGGAGUGAGAGGGCACAUGGGAAAUGUUGGAGGGAAGAAAGGGGGAGGGGCAAGUGAUAUCAUAUUUUAAUUAACAUUUAAAAAUUAAAAAUUAAGAAUCAUGACAGAUUCCACCCAAACACAAAUCUUAGGAGCAUAAGGAAUGUGGACAAGCCUGCUGUCCUUCCUCUUAAAAGCGUCUGUGAGUCACAACGGAGAGAAAUAAACAGGAAGAAUAUGUGAAUGCUCUGAUGCUCUCACCAUCAGGGUAAAUGUCAGGGGUCACGUGGGAAAAGUUCAAUGUCCACAUGAGUAAAGAAUGUGGGAAUGUCUUCCACCAUUCAUCAUGUGAUAGGUCAGAAGGACCCAGCUCUUUCCAAGUGGUAUUUGCGUAAGGACCAAACAAUUAUUGUGAAGAAUGUUACUCUCCUAGGUCUUUACUCUAAGGACCCCUUUAUGUUUUGUUUUGUGAAUGAGCAAACUGUUCAGAGUGGGCGCUGGGCCCUUGAGUGACAGCUGACAGACCUUUCUUUUUGUCAGUCGUCAGGCAAGUAGCCCCUGCUCUGACAACCAGUCUGCCAUCUGCCUUGACAACCCUGUCAUCACACCUGAAAAGCCUCUCCAGUUGAAGGAACAUUUCAACCAUGGCUGCUUUGGAAGCUCUAACUUCCACCUUAGGAGGCUUUGCUCCCGACACCUCUCAGGACAAAUUGCCUGGCUUCUAUUAGACUUUCCCACAGCCAUGACAAAUUCUGUGGGUUCUAGGCAACCACACCCAUCCUGCAGCUAGUCUUGCUGUGGAAAUGUGUACAUCUCCUCAAGGAUACAACAAAAACCUUAUGAUUGAUUCGUCUCCAAAGCUCCCAAUUGGUACACGUGUUAGAGUAGUGAUUGGUGAUGGAACUAUCAUGGAAGCCAUGUGCAAGCAUUCCAUGCCCUUCAUGGGACUGCUUUCAGUUUUUCUGGAAUACUUCCUCAAGGUAUUGUAAUAUUAGGCCUCAAUAAAGGCUUUUCCUGAAUAGGUUUUGGGGGGGGGAACAGGGAGUCCAAUACAGAAACAGAAGUUAAAAGAGUGAUGACCAGGGUCAAGGAGAGGGAGGAAAUAGGAAGAUAUUGGUCAAAGGAUACAAACACAAUUAUGUGAUCUGGAUCAGUCUAGACACUGAAUUGAGGAUGUGAAGGUCACUCACUGUUAAAUGUGUUAUAUUGUAUACUGAAAAAUUGCUUCAAGCUGACUGCUUUUACUAGGCACACACAAAGGAAGCCAACUACAUGGGAUGACAGAUAAUUUGUAAUUGACACCAUAGUAACAAUCAUUCUGCCAUCUAUAUACACCUCAAGAUAUGUGCCUUUAUUUAUGGAAAUAUUUAUUUAUUGGGCACACCUUAAAUACAAUAAUAAAUGAAUUUAUUUUA
This is a long non-coding RNA of Mesocricetus auratus (golden hamster), 2180 nucleotides long. RefSeq lists it as uncharacterized. Lineage: Eukaryota; Metazoa; Chordata; Mammalia; Rodentia; Cricetidae. The transcript is spliced from 3 exons. The record is from RefSeq and is a predicted model, not a curated record.